GAGGGAGAAUUGUUGUUGAUUGAGUAUCGAAGGAAUCAGAACACCGCUGAAGCCAGGGAAAACGAAAGAAAAAGAAAAAUACAUAUUUUGAUGUCACUUCGAUGAUCAUUCCUUUCUAUAUGAAAAUGGGUAACUGAAUGAAAAGGGUAAGAUAUAUAUUUGUUCCUUUCAGUUGUUGAUUGAUCUGUUAGAGGUAGGUUAUGUUAUUUUCUUUAAAAAUAUUAUUUUGAAUCCAUAAUCUGUUAGGAGUGUCUUUGCAGUUACAUCAACAUUCCUAUUCUUGUCAGUAAGAUAUUAAUUUGUUUUUGCCUCUUUUUGAUUUACUUUUUAUAGUAUCAAAAAUGGUAAGGAAAAAAGGGUAAGAAUUUUUUAUUGCUAUUUUGUUAUUAUGAAAUUGUGAUGUUCUGAGGUAGGUUGGUUUGGUAUGCUAUAUUCAUUACAUUAACCAUCAUUACUGCUAAAGCAAUGACAUCUGUAAAAUGCUCACACAAGAGUGGAAACUAUCCUCUGUCUUAUUGGGAGCUCAAUCUCGUCUGCGACCACAACAUUUCAAAUUGGCAGAAGGUAAGUUACUUCCUUAGCAUUCUAUUCAACAAUGCCAAAGGCAGGUUACUAUGCUUAUUGAAGGUUCCUUUCAACUAUACUGAUCAAGUAUAACUCAUUUGGUACUAAAUUGUUUGGCAUAAUACUCAUCCAUCACUUUACAAUAUAAUGAGUGUGAUAAGUUUUAAGAUGGUCUCUCUGCCACUUUAUUGUGUAAGUUAGUUAGCUUUCUAUUAAGUUUUCCUAAAUUGCAUUUUUCUUACCUGAUUGCAUCCAAAUAAUUGAUUGCUAAUUAUGCAUUUUUGCUGUUUUUUUUUUAAUCUUUAACUUGUUACUUGAUGCAUUCUAUUCAACCAUCACUGUGUCAUUUGUU
Molecule: long non-coding RNA, 916 nt
Filed under: Trifolium pratense (red clover)
Lineage: Eukaryota; Viridiplantae; Streptophyta; Magnoliopsida; Fabales; Fabaceae
Description: long non-coding RNA (TPRA_LNC008293)
Source: RNAcentral